UACGUAGGUGGCAAGCGUUGUCCGGAAUUAUUGGGCGUAAAGCGCGCGCAGGCGGUCCUUUAAGUCUGAUGUGAAAGCCCACGGCUCAACCGUGGAGGGUCAUUGGAAACUGGGGGACUAGAGUCCGGAAGAGGCAAGUGGAAUUCCCGGUGUAGCGGUGAAAUGCGCAGAUAUCGGGAGGAACACCAAUGGCGAAGGCAGCUUGCUGGGACGGUACUGACGCUGAGGCGCGAAAGCGUGGGGAGCAAACAGG
Molecule: ribosomal RNA, 253 nt
Filed under: uncultured bacterium
Lineage: Bacteria
Description: partial 16S ribosomal RNA
Rfam family: Bacterial small subunit ribosomal RNA
Source: RNAcentral